Molecule: ribosomal RNA, 800 nt
Filed under: Hyphomonas sp.
Lineage: Bacteria; Pseudomonadati; Pseudomonadota; Alphaproteobacteria; Hyphomonadales; Hyphomonadaceae
Description: bacterial SSU rRNA
Rfam family: Bacterial small subunit ribosomal RNA
Source: RNAcentral
AACGACAUAGUGGCAGACGGGUGAGUAACGCGUGGGAACGUACCUUUCGCUACGGAAUAGCUCUUGGAAACGAGUGGUAAUACCGUAUACGCCCUCCGGGGGAAAGAUUUAUCGGCGAAAGAUCGGCCCGCGUUAGAUUAGGUAGUUGGUGGGGUAAUGGCCUACCAAGCCUACGAUCUAUAGCUGGUCUGAGAGGAUGAUCAGCCACACUGGGACUGAGACACGGCCCAGACUCCUACGGGAGGCAGCAGUGGGGAAUCUUGCACAAUGGGCGAAAGCCUGAUGCAGCCAUGCCGCGUGAAUGAUGAAGGCCUUAGGGUUGUAAAAUUCUUUCGCCAGGGAUGAUAAUGACAGUACCUGGUAAAGAAGCCCCGGCUAACUUCGUGCCAGCAGCCGCGGUAAUACGAAGGGGGCUAGCGUUGUUCGGAAUUACUGGGCGUAAAGCGCACGUAGGCGGACUUUUAAGUCAGAUGUGAAAUCCCGGGGCUCAACCUCGGAACUGCAUUUGAAACUGGAAGUCUGGAGUUCAGGAGAGGUUAGCGGAAUACCGAGUGUAGAGGUGAAAUUCGUAGAUAUUCGGUGGAACACCAGUGGCGAAGGCGGCUAACUGGACUGAUACUGACGCUGAGGUGCGAAAGUGUGGGGAGCAAACAGGAUUAGAUACCCUGGUAGUCCACACCGUAAACGAUGACAGCUAGUUGUUGGCAGGCAUGCCUGUCGGUGACGCAGCUAACGCAUUAAGCUGUCCGCCUGGGGAGUACGGCCGCAAGGUUAAAACUCAAAGAAAUUGACGGGGGCCC